Molecule: ribosomal RNA, 253 nt
Filed under: uncultured bacterium
Lineage: Bacteria
Description: partial 16S ribosomal RNA
Rfam family: Bacterial small subunit ribosomal RNA
Source: RNAcentral
GACGUAGGGCGCGAGCGUUGUCCGGAUUUAUUGGGCGUAAAGAGCUCGUAGGCGGCUUGUCGCGUCGAAUGUGAAAACUCGGGGCUCAACUCCGAGCUUGCAUUCGAUACGGGCAGACUAGAGUGUGGUAGGGGAGACUGGAAUUCCUGGUGUAGCGGUGGAAUGCGCAGAUAUCAGGAGGAACACCGAUGGCGAAGGCAGGUCUCUGGGCCACUACUGACGCUGAGAAGCGAAAGCAUGGGGAGCGAACAGG